Molecule: long non-coding RNA, 645 nt
Filed under: Homo sapiens (human)
Lineage: Eukaryota; Metazoa; Chordata; Mammalia; Primates; Hominidae
Description: non-protein coding lnc-ZNF26-12:2
Source: RNAcentral
AUAGGAGGGGUGGAACCCAGCAGCGCUGACUGAGCCGCCGCGAAGUGCCGGAACGUAUUACCUGGGAGCCAAAUUUCAGAGCGUCGUUUGUCUUCCCAAGCCCACCAGCUUUCAGCGUUCUCCAGCCUCGCCACACCCCCGCCUCGGGCCGUCCCCGCCCAGACGCUUGUCCCCGCGAGAAGCUGAGCGCACUGAAGUGAGCCCGGCGGCUGCCGCCGGAGGAGGAGCCCGGCUCUGGACACGGCCGUCAGGAAGCUCAGAGGCUGCAGCACCGCUUCUGCGUUGAUUUCCGCUUGACUUUUACUCUUUUCUUGGGUUAAAAAUCAAACGCCGACCCGAGGCGUCAGAGAUGGGCGGUCGUUAGGCGCAGUGGCGGCCCCCGGAUGUUUGCGAUGGGACGGCGGGCUCGGAACGUGUGGACGUGGGCUUUGGAGACAGCGUCUCACCCUGUCGCCCAGGCUGGAGUGCAACGGCACAAUCUCGGCUCACUGCAACCUCCACCUCCAGGGUUCAAGCAAUUCCCCUGCCUCAGCUUCCCAAGUAGCUGGGAUUACAGGCACACACCACCACACCUGGCUAAUUUUUUGCAUCUUUGGUAGAGACGGGGUUUCACCAUGUUGGCCAGGCUGGUCUUGAUCUCCUGAC